UACGAAGGGGGCUAGCGUUGCUCGGAAUCACUGGGCGUAAAGGGUGCGUAGGCGGGUCUUUAAGUCAGGGGUGAAAUCCUGGAGCUCAACUCCAGAACUGCCUUUGAUACUGAAGAUCUUGAGUUCGGGAGAGGUGAGUGGAACUGCGAGUGUAGAGGUGAAAUUCGUAGAUAUUCGCAAGAACACCAGUGGCGAAGGCGGCUCACUGGCCCGGUACUGACGCUGAGGAGCGAAAGCAUGGGGAGCGAACAGG
RNAcentral lists this ribosomal RNA (253 nucleotides) under uncultured bacterium. Its description in RNAcentral is "partial 16S ribosomal RNA". It matches the Rfam family "Bacterial small subunit ribosomal RNA", at positions 524 to 776 of the family's 1533-position model. The record is from RNAcentral.